UACGUAGGGCGCAAGCGUUGUCCGGAAUUAUUGGGCGUAAAGAGCUCGUAGGCGGCCUGUUGCGUCCGCUGUGAAAUCCCGGGGCUCAACCCCGGGCCUGCAGUCGAUACGGGCAGGCUGGAGUUCGGUAGAGGGUGACGGAAUUCCCGGUGUAGCGGUGAAAUGCGUAGAUAUCGGGAGGAACAUCGAUGGCGAAGGCAAUCACCUGGGCCUGAACUGACACUGAGACACGAAAGCGUGGGUAGCAAACAGG
Molecule: ribosomal RNA, 253 nt
Filed under: uncultured bacterium
Lineage: Bacteria
Description: partial 16S ribosomal RNA
Rfam family: Bacterial small subunit ribosomal RNA
Source: RNAcentral